GGAGAGGGAGGUAGAGAGGAGACACUGGAUCAGAGGGGACAGGAGAGGGAGGUAGAGAGGAGACACUGGAUCAGAGGGGACAGGAGAGGGAGGUAGAGAGGAGACACUGGAUCAGAGGGGACAGGAGAGGGAGGUAGAGAGGAGACACUGGAUCAGAGGGGACAGGAGAGGGAGGUAGAGAGGAGACACUGGAUCAGAGGGGACAGGAAAGGGAGGUAGAGAGGAGACACUGGAUCAGAGGAGACAGGAGAGGGAGGUAGAGAGGAGACACUGGAUCAGAGGGGACAGGAGAGGGAGGUAGAGAGGAGACACUGGAUCAGAGG
Esox lucius (northern pike) is the source of this 323-nucleotide long non-coding RNA. Lineage: Eukaryota; Metazoa; Chordata; Actinopteri; Esociformes; Esocidae. The record is from Ensembl.